UACGGAAGGCAGCAGUGGGGAAUAUUGCACAAUGGGCGAAAGCCUGAUGCAGCUAUGCCGCGUGUAUGAAGAAGGCCUUAGGGGUUGUAAAGUACUUUCAUCGGGGAGGAAAAAACAAAACUAAUAAUUUUAUUUCUUGACGUUACCCGAAAAAGAAGCACCGGCUAACUCCGUGCCAGCAGCCGCGGUAAUACGGAGGGUGCUAGCGUUAAUCAGAAUUACUGGGCGUAAAGAGCACGUAGGUGGUUUUUUUAAAGUCAGAUGUGAAAUCCCUGGGCUUAACCUAGGAACUGCAUUUUGAAACUGAAAUACUAGAGUAUCGUAGAGGGAGGUAGAAUUCUAGGUGUAGCGGUGAAAUGCGUAGAUAUCUGGAGGAAUACCUGUGGCGAAAGCGGCCUCCUAAACGAAUACUGACACUGAGGGUGCGAAAGCGUGGGGAGCAAACAGGGAUUAGAUACC
This 459-nucleotide ribosomal RNA is filed under the name uncultured bacterium. Its description in RNAcentral is "bacterial SSU rRNA". It matches the Rfam family "Bacterial small subunit ribosomal RNA", at positions 340 to 786 of the family's 1533-position model. The record is from RNAcentral.